RNAcentral lists this ribosomal RNA (646 nucleotides) under Nocardiopsis terrae. RNAcentral describes it as "bacterial SSU rRNA". It matches the Rfam family "Bacterial small subunit ribosomal RNA", at positions 61 to 710 of the family's 1533-position model. Lineage: Bacteria; Bacillati; Actinomycetota; Actinomycetes; Streptosporangiales; Nocardiopsidaceae. The record is from RNAcentral.
GUCGAGCGGUAAGGCCCUUCGGGGUACACGAGCGGCGAACGGGUGAGUAACACGUGAGCAACCUGCCCCUGACUCCGGGAUAAGCGGUGGAAACGCCGUCUAAUACCGGAUAUGACACACCAUCUCCUGGUGGUGUGUGGAAAGUUUUAUCGGUCAGGGAUGGGCUCGCGGCCUAUCAGCUUGUUGGUGGGGUAAAGGCCUACCAAGGCGAUUACGGGUAGCCGGCCUGAGAGGGCGACCGGCCACACUGGGACUGAGACACGGCCCAGACUCCUGCGGGAGGCAGCAGUGGGGAAUAUUGCACAAUGGGCGAAAGCCUGAUGCAGCGACGCCGCGUGGGGGAUGACGGCCUUCGGGUUGUAAACCUCUUUUACCACCAACGCAGGCCCCGGGUUCUCUCGGGGUUGACGGUAGGUGGGGAAUAAGGACCGGCUAACUACGUGCCAGCAGCCGCGGUAAUACGUAGGGUCCGAGCGUUGUCCGGAAUUAUUGGGCGUAAAGAGCUCGUAGGCGGCGUGUCGCGUCUGCUGUGAAAGACCGGGGCUUAACCCCGGUUCUGCAGUGGAUACGGGCAUGCUAGAGGUAGGUAGGGGAGACUGGAAUUCCUGGUGUAGCGGUGAAAUGCGCAGAUAUCAGGAGGAACACC